UGAAUCUGCGGAAGGAUCAUUG
This 22-nucleotide ribosomal RNA is filed under the name Eucalyptus quinniorum. RNAcentral's name for it is "partial 18S ribosomal RNA". Lineage: Eukaryota; Viridiplantae; Streptophyta; Magnoliopsida; Myrtales; Myrtaceae. The record is from RNAcentral.